This 1046-nucleotide ribosomal RNA is filed under the name uncultured organism. RNAcentral describes it as "bacterial SSU rRNA". It matches the Rfam family "Bacterial small subunit ribosomal RNA", at positions 365 to 1407 of the family's 1533-position model. The record is from RNAcentral.
UGGGCAAUGGGCGAAAGCCUGACCCAGCAAUGCCGCGUGCAGGAUGAAGCCCCUAGGGGUGUAAACUGCUGUCAGGGGUCAGAAAGCUGGUUUCGGCCAGUUGAUCAACCCCAGAGGAAGUCACGGCUAACUUCGUGCCAGCAGCCGCGGUAAUACGAAGGUGGCAAGCGUUAUUCGGAAUCAUUGGGCUUAAAGGGCACGCAGGCGGAACAGUGUGUGUUGUGUGAAAUCCCCCGGCUUAACCGGGGAAUUGCACAGCAAACUGCUGUUCUUGAGGCAGGUAGGGGUGCAUGGAACUCUUGGUGGAGCGGUGGAAUGCGUAGAUAUCAAGAGGAACGCCAGAGGUGAAGACGGUGCACUGGGCCUGUCCUGACGCUGAGGUGCGAAAGCGUGGGGAGCGAACGGGAUUAGAUACCCCGGUAGUCCACGCCGUAAACGAUGUCUACUAGGUCGUGGGUGUUCUGACACAUUCACGGCCGGAGCAAAAGUGUUUAGUAGACCGCCUGGGGAGUACGGCCGCAAGGUUAAAACUCAAAUGAAUUGACGGGGGCUCACACAAGCGGUGGAGCAUGUGGAUUAAUUCGAAGCAGCGCGCAGAACCUUACCUGGGUUUGACAUGCUCGUAUGCCUUCUCUGAAAGGAGUUAGGCUGCCUUCGGGUGAAACUUGCACAGGUGCUGCAUGGCUGUCGUCAGCUCGUGUCGUGAGAUGUCGGGUUAAGUCCUUUAACGAGCGAAACCCUUGCCGUUAGUUGCCAGCGAGUAAUGUCGGGGACUCUAACGGGACUGCCGGUGUUAAACCGGAGGAAGGUGGGGAUGACGUCAAGUCCUCAUGGCCUUUAUGCCCAGGGCUUCACACGUGCUACAAUGGCAAUUACAGAGCGACGCGAUACCGCGAGGUGGAGCAAAUCGCAAAAAAAUUGCCUCAGUUCGGAUUGCAGGCUGGCAAUUCGCCUGCAUGAAGUCGGAAUCGCUAGUAAUCGCGUAUCAGCAAUGACGCGGUGAAUGUGUUCCUGAGCACUUGUACACACCGCCCGUCAAGUGAUGG